RNAcentral lists this ribosomal RNA (446 nucleotides) under uncultured bacterium. Its description in RNAcentral is "partial 16S ribosomal RNA". It matches the Rfam family "Bacterial small subunit ribosomal RNA", at positions 338 to 795 of the family's 1533-position model. The record is from RNAcentral.
CCUACGGGUGGCAGCAGUCGAGAAUCAUUCACAAUGGGGGAAACCCUGAUGGUGCGACGCCGCGUGGGGGAAUGAAGGUCUUCGGAUUGUAAACCCCUGUCAUGUGGGAGCAAAUUAAAAAGAUAGUACCACAAGAGGAAGAGACGGCUAACUCAGUGCCAGCAGCCGCGGUAAUACAGAGGUCUCAAGCGUUGUUCGGAAUCACUGGGCGUAAGGGGUGCGUAGGCUGUUGCGUAAGUCGGGUGUGAAAGGCGCGGGCUCAACCCGCGGACGGCACAUGAUACUGGGAGACUAGAGUAAUGGAGGGGGAACCGGAAUUCUCGGUGUAGCAGUGAAAUGCGUAGAUAUCGAGAGGAACACUCGUGGCGAAGGCGGGUUCCUGGACAUUAACUGACGCUGAGGCACGAAGGCGAGGGGAGCGAAAGGGAUUAGAUACCCUUGUAGUC